UGGCGGACGGGUGAGUAAUGUCUGGGAAACUGCCUGAUGGAGGGGGAUAACUACUGGAAACGGUAGCUAAUACCGCAUAACGUCGCAAGACCAAAGAGGGGGACCUUCGGGCCUCUUGCCAUCGGAUGUGCCCAGAUGGGAUUAGCUAGUAGGUGGGGUAACGGCUCACCUAGGCGACGAUCCCUAGCUGGUCUGAGAGGAUGGCCAGCCACACUGGAACUGAGACACGGUCCAG
Molecule: ribosomal RNA, 235 nt
Filed under: uncultured bacterium
Lineage: Bacteria
Description: partial 16S ribosomal RNA
Rfam family: Bacterial small subunit ribosomal RNA
Source: RNAcentral